AACUUUUUCACUGUCGAAGUUUCCGGAUAUGAUGUCAUUAGGUGAAUUUUUGGUACAAAAAAAACAAAGGAAAACUAAUUUGCAAUUCACCUAAUGACAUCAUAUCUGGAAACUUUGACAGUGAAAAAGUUGAUCAAGAUGGGAUUUUUUAUUAUAAAGAUUUAUUACAUUUCGUCUUCGGAUGACCCAAACGCAUACCAAAAAUCGUAUUUGUGGUUAGUCGCACUUCAAAAAAGAAAAUCCAAAGAGAUACAGUGCUGUAGGAAGGUUUUUCCUUAUUAAGGGCUGCCAAAAACAUUAAGAGUGUGGGGGGGAUUUAAAAUCCCCUAAAAAGUUAGAAAAAUCAUCAUCACUGAAAUGGUUACUAUUAUAUUACAAGUACCGGGGGUGCCAGAUCCCCCCAAAUUUUAUGCAAAGUGGAAUUUGAAAAAAAAUGCGAAUACUUAGGGAAAGAACAACAGCUGCGACUACCAUGGAAUAUUCAUUUCUCGUAUGAGUCUAUGACGUAUCAUCAAAAAUAAUCCGCACUUUUAUUCAACCGACACUACAGAGCUGUGGACCAUCAUAUACUUCUUGAAAGUGUUCAAACAGGGUUCAAAAUAACAGCCGGUCAAGGGACAUUGAUGAGGAGGGGAAAAGGUAUAUUCGUGAACCGUGAAUGGUGAAUAUUUGUUCCUGUGAAAUGCUUGAUUUUAGUGUCGUGAAAUGUGAUUUGUUCUACAGCCGUGAGGCGUGAUUGUUGAUAAAAAUGCUCCGUGAAAUGAGAAUUAAGGAUGCCUGUUUCGUGAACCGUGACCUAUUAGUGAUUAUUAUAAUAAACAUGAUACGCGAUAAUCAAAUUUAUAUGAUCUCACUCGAUUGCGCAAUAGUAAAAACUUCGGAAGCCUUUCGCGAGGUUCCUGACGCUGAGGACAAGGUUCCUGACGCUGAGGACAAGGUUUCUGACGCUGAGGACAAGGUUCCUGACGCUGAGGACAAGGUUCCUGGCGGUUAGGACAAUGUUCCUGGCGGUUAGGACAAGGUUCCUGGUCGUGAGGACAAGGUUCCUGGCGGUCAAGACAAGGUUCCUGGCGCUGAGGACAACGUUCCUGGCGGUGAGGACAAGGUUCCUGGUGGUGAGGACAAGGUUCCUGACGGUGAGGACAAGGUUCCUGGCGGUGAGGACAAGGUUCCUGGCGGUGAGGACAAGGUUCCUGGCGGUGAGGACAAGGUUCCUGGUGGUGAGGACAGGGUUCCUGGCGGUGAGGAAAAGGUUCCUGGCGGUGAGGACAAGGUUCCUGGAGGUGAAGACAAGGUUCCUGGCGGUGAGGACAAGGUUCGUGGCGGUGAGGACAAGGUUCCUGCCGUUGAGGGCAAGGUUCCUGACGGUGAGGAGAAGGUUCCUGGCGGCGAGGACAAGGUUCCUGGCGGCGAGGACAAGGUUCCUGGCGGGGAGGACAAGGUUCCUGGCGGCGAGGACAAGGUUCCUGGCGGUGAGGACAAGGUUCCUGGCGCUAAGGACAAGGUUCCUGGCGGUGAGGACAAGGUUCCUGGCGGUGAGGACAAGGUUCCUGGCGGUGAGGACAAGGUUCCUGGC
Paramuricea clavata is the source of this 1576-nucleotide non-coding RNA. The record is from the annotation of a GenBank genome assembly. NCBI's taxonomy places the organism in Eukaryota, Metazoa, Cnidaria, Anthozoa, Malacalcyonacea, Plexauridae.